Molecule: transfer RNA, 65 nt
Filed under: Symplana lii
Lineage: Eukaryota; Metazoa; Arthropoda; Insecta; Hemiptera; Lophopidae
Description: tRNA-Asn
Source: RNAcentral
UUAAUUGAAGCUAAAAUUUGAAGCAUUCCACUGUUAAUGGAAAAAUUGGUUAUUACCCUAUUAAA